Molecule: ribosomal RNA, 399 nt
Filed under: uncultured bacterium
Lineage: Bacteria
Description: bacterial SSU rRNA
Rfam family: Bacterial small subunit ribosomal RNA
Source: RNAcentral
UAUUGCGCAAUGGGGGCAACCCUGACGCAGCAACGCCGCGUGAAGGAUGAAGGUUUUCGGAUUGUAAACUUCUUUUAUUAAGGACGAAAAAUGACGGUACUUAAUGAAUAAGCUCCGGCUAACUACGUGCCAGCAGCCGCGGUAAUACGUAGGGAGCAAGCGUUGUCCGGAUUUACUGGGUGUAAAGGGUGCGUAGGCGGCUUUGCAAGUCAGAUGUGAAAUCUAUGGGCUCAACCCAUAAACUGCAUUUGAAACUGUAGAGCUUGAGUGAAGUAGAGGCAGGCGGAAUUCCCCGUGUAGCGGUGAAAUGCGUAGAGAUGGGGAGGAACACCAGUGGCGAAGGCGGCCUGCUGGGCUUUAACUGACGCUGAGGCACGAAAGCGUGGGUAGCAAACAGGA